AGAGAAUAGAUACCCGGGUAGUCCACGCUGUAAACGAUGGUGACUAGGUGUUGCGGGUAUCGACCCCCGCAGUGCCGUAGCUAAACGCGUUAAGUCACCCGCCUGGGGAGUACGGUCGCAAGACUGAAACUCAAAGGAAUUGACGGGGGCCCGCACAAGCGGUGGAGGAUGUGGUUUAAUUCGACGCAACGCGAAGAACCUUACCAAGGCUUGACAUCCACAGAACCCUCUAGAAAUAGAGGGGUGCCCGAAAGGGAGCUGUGAGACAGGUGGUGCAUGGCUGUCGUCAGCUCGUGUCGUGAGAUGUUGGGUUAAGUCCCGCAACGAGCGCAACCCUCGUGGUUAGUUGCCAACAGGUUAUGCUGGGCACUCUAGCCAGACUGCCGGUGACAAACCGGAGGAAGGUAGGGACGACGUCAAGUCAUCAUGCCCCUUACGUCUUGGGCUACACACGUCCUACAAUGGCCGGAACAAAGGGCUGCAAGCUAGCGAUAGCAAGCGAAUCCCAAAAAUCCGGCCUCAGUUCAGAUUGCAGGCUGC
This 540-nucleotide ribosomal RNA is filed under the name uncultured bacterium. RNAcentral's name for it is "bacterial SSU rRNA". It matches the Rfam family "Bacterial small subunit ribosomal RNA", at positions 774 to 1308 of the family's 1533-position model. The record is from RNAcentral.